GAAAUAAGUAAAUACAAGAAAAGAUUUCUAACCUUUAUCUUUAGCAGUGAAAAUCUGUUAUUAUUUCU
RNAcentral lists this transfer RNA (68 nucleotides) under Agrilus mali. RNAcentral's name for it is "tRNA-Ser". Lineage: Eukaryota; Metazoa; Arthropoda; Insecta; Coleoptera; Buprestidae. The record is from RNAcentral.